GACGAACGCUGGCGGCGUGCUUAACACAUGCAAGUCGAACGGAAAGGCCCCUUUGGGGGUACUCGAGUGGCGAACGGGUGAGUAACACGUGAGUAACCUGCCCUUGACUUCGGGAUAACUUCAGGAAACUGGGGCUAAUACCGGAUAGGAAUCCUUGCUGCAUGGUGGGGGUUGGAAAGCUUCGGCGGUUUUGGAUGGACUCGCGGCUUAUCAGCUUGUUGGUGGGGUAGUGGCUUACCAAGGCUUUGACGGGUAGCCGGCCUGAGAGGGCGACCGGCCACAUUGGGACUGAGAUACGGCCCAGACGCCUACGGGAGGCAGCAGUGGGGAAUAUUGCACAAUGGGCGGAAGCCUGAUGCAGCAACGCCGCGUGCGGGAUGACGGCCUUCGGGUUGGAAACCGCUUUCAGCAGGGGCGAAGCUUGUGGUGACGGUACCUGCAGAAGAAGCACCGGCUAACUACGUG
RNAcentral lists this ribosomal RNA (465 nucleotides) under uncultured bacterium. RNAcentral's name for it is "partial 16S ribosomal RNA". It matches the Rfam family "Bacterial small subunit ribosomal RNA", at positions 28 to 507 of the family's 1533-position model. The record is from RNAcentral.